RNAcentral lists this small RNA (269 nucleotides) under Cryptococcus neoformans H99. RNAcentral describes it as "Cryptococcus neoformans var. grubii H99 hypothetical RNA". Lineage: Eukaryota; Fungi; Basidiomycota; Tremellomycetes; Tremellales; Cryptococcaceae. The record is from RNAcentral.
AAGCGCUGCAACUACAUCAUGGCUCAACUAAACUUAGACGACGACUAAACUUCAUGAAUGAAUGCAGAGGCAACAGCGGAAACUAAGAGAACUAUGAAAAAUCUGAGCAUCUAACUGGAAUUUGCUUGUUCACCAGGAGACAGCUCCUCUGUCCGCUACCGUCUUUUUAUCCAAAUCUGUUACUGUAUAUCCAUCUUCACCGCAGCAUCAGUUCAGUUUCUAUUGCACCUGCCAAAGGAUGAGCCAGUAUGGUAUCAACGCCUUCGCAU